GACGAACGCUGGCGGCGUGCCUAAUACAUGCAAGUAGAACGCACAGUUUAUACCGUAGCUUGCUACACCAUAAACUGUGAGUUGCGAACGGGUGAGUAACGCGUAGGUAACCUGCCUGGUAGCGGGGGAUAACUAUUGGAAACGAUAGCUAAUACCGCAUAAUAUUGAUUAUUGCAUGAUAAUUGAUUGAAAGAUGCUAUUGCAUCACUACCAGAUGGACCUGCGUUGUAUUAGCUAGUAGGUGAGGUAACGGCUCACCUAGGCGACGAUACAUAGCCGACCUGAGAGGGUGCUCGGCCACACUGGGACUGAGACACGGCCCAGACUCCUACGGGAGGCAGCAGUAGGGAAUCUUCGGCAAUGGACGAAAGUCUGACCGAGCAACGCCGCGUGAGUGCAGAAGGUUUUCGGAUCGUAAAGCUCUGUUGUAAGAGAAGAACGGGUGUGAGAGUGGAAAGUUCACACUGUGACGGUAUCUUACCGGAAAGGGACGGCUAACUACGUG
Molecule: ribosomal RNA, 505 nt
Filed under: uncultured bacterium
Lineage: Bacteria
Description: partial 16S ribosomal RNA
Rfam family: Bacterial small subunit ribosomal RNA
Source: RNAcentral